Molecule: transfer RNA, 76 nt
Filed under: Oscillospiraceae bacterium
Lineage: Bacteria; Bacillati; Bacillota; Clostridia; Eubacteriales; Oscillospiraceae
Description: tRNA-Gln
Rfam family: tRNA
About the family: Transfer RNA (tRNA) molecules are approximately 80 nucleotides in length. Their secondary structure includes four short double-helical elements and three loops (D, anti-codon, and T loops). Further hydrogen bonds mediate the characteristic L-shaped molecular structure. tRNAs have two regions of fundamental functional importance: the anti-codon, which is responsible for specific mRNA codon recognition, and the 3' end, to which the tRNAs corresponding amino acid is attached (by aminoacyl-tRNA synthetases). tRNAs cope with the degeneracy of the genetic code in two manners: having more than one tRNA (with a specific anti-codon) for a particular amino acid; and 'wobble' base-pairing, i.e. permitting non-standard base-pairing at the 3rd anti-codon position.
Source: RNAcentral
UGGGAUGUAGCCAAGUGGUAAGGCACAGGACUUUGACUCCUGCAUUUCGCUGGUUCGAGCCCAGCCAUCCCAGCCA